UUAAGCGACUAAGCGUACACGGUGGAUGCCCUGGCAGUCAGAGGCGAUGAAGGGCGUGCUAAUCUGCGAUAAGCGCCGGUAAGGUGAUAUGAACCGUUAUAACCGGCGAUACCCGAAUGGGGAAACCCAGUGUGAUUCGUCACACUAUCAUUAACUGAAUCCAUAGGUUAAUGAGGCGAACCGGGGGAACUGAAACAUCUAAGUACCCCGAGGAAAAGAAAUCAACCGAGAUUCCCCCAGUAGCGGCGAGCGAACGGGGAGGAGCCCAGAGCCUGAAUCAGCAUGUGUGUUAGUGGAAGCGUCUGGAAAGGCGCGCGAUACAGGGUGACAGCCCCGUACACAAAAGCGCAUGUGCUGUGAGCUCGAUGAGUAGGGCGGGACACGUGGUAUCCUGUCUGAAUAUGGGGGGACCAUCCUCCAAGGCUAAAUACUCCUGACUGACCGAUAGUGAACCAGUACCGUGAGGGAAAGGCGAAAAGAACCCCGGCGAGGGGAGUGAAAAAGAACCUGAAACCGUGUACGUACAAGCAGUGGGAGCCCCACCACUAAGCCAGUGGUGAACUCCACAUCCGCAUCCUUUGCUGAGGAUACGGUUAACGGAGCGAAAGCGACGUUCAACCGCAAAACAAGCAGAGGGGGCUUAGUGGUGGGGUGACUGCGUACCUUUUGUAUAAUGGGUCAGCGACUUAUAUUCUGUAGCAAGGUUAACCGAAUAGGGGAGCCGGAGGGAAACCGAGUCUUAAUUGGGCGUUAAGUUGCAGGGUAUAGACCCGAAACCCGGUGAUCUAGCCAUGGGCAGGUUGAAGGUUGGGUAACACUAACUGGAGGACCGAACCGACUAAUGUUGAAAAAUUAGCGGAUGACCUGUGGCUGGGGGUGAAAGGCCAAUCAAACCGGGAGAUAGCUGGUUCUCCCCGAAAGCUAUUUAGGUAGCGCCUCGUGAAUUCAUCUCCGGGGGUAGAGCACUGUUUCGGCUAGGGGGCCAUCCCGGCUUACCAACCCGAUGCAAACUGCGAAUACCGGAGAAUGUUAUCACGGGAGACACACGGCGGGUGCUAACGUCCGUCGUGAAGAGGGAAACAACCCAGACCGCCAGCUAAGGUCCCAAAGUCAUGGUUAAGUGGGAAACGAUGUGGGAAGGCCCAGACAGCCAGGAUGUUGGCUUAGAAGCAGCCAUCAUUUAAAGAAAGCGUAAUAGCUCACUGGUCGAGUCGGCCUGCGCGGAAGAUGUAACGGGGCUAAACCAUGCACCGAAGCUGCGGCAGCGAACGUAUCACCCAAGACAACUUUACGGAGUUGACGAUUGACGGAGCGAAGCGACGUCAAAGCGUUCAUUAAAGUCGAGUUGGCUUAGGGAUACGUUCGUUGGGUAGGGGAGCGUUCUGUAAGCCUGUGAAGGUGUGUCGUGAGGCAUGCUGGAGGUAUCAGAAGUGCGAAUGCUGACAUAAGUAACGAUAAAGCGGGUGAAAAGCCCGCUCGCCGGAAGACCAAGGGUUCCUGUCCAACGUUAAUCGGGGCAGGGUGAGUCGACCCCUAAGGCGAGGCCGAAAGGCGUAGUCGAUGGGAAACGGGUUAAUAUUCCCGUACUUGGUGUUACUGCGAAGGGGGGACGGAGAAGGCUAUGUUGGCCGGGCGACGGUUGUCCCGGUUUAAGCGUGUAGGUGUGUGUUCCAGGUAAAUCCGGUUCACUUUAACACUGAGGCGUGACGACGAGGCACUACGGUGCUGAAGCAACAAAUGCCCUGCUUCCAGGAAAAGCCUCUAAGCAUCAGGUAACAUCAAAUCGUACCCCAAACCGACACAGGUGGUCAGGUAGAGAAUACCAAGGCGCUUGAGAGAACUCGGGUGAAGGAACUAGGCAAAAUGGUGCCGUAACUUCGGGAGAAGGCACGCUGACACGUAGGUGAAGUGAUUUACUCAUGGAGCUGAAGUCAGUCGAAGAUACCAGCUGGCUGCAACUGUUUAUUAAAAACACAGCACUGUGCAAACACGAAAGUGGACGUAUACGGUGUGACGCCUGCCCGGUGCCGGAAGGUUAAUUGAUGGGGUCAGCGCAAGCGAAGCUCCUGAUCGAAGCCCCGGUAAACGGCGGCCGUAACUAUAACGGUCCUAAGGUAGCGAAAUUCCUUGUCGGGUAAGUUCCGACCUGCACGAAUGGCGUAAUGAUGGCCAGGCUGUCUCCACCCGAGACUCAGUGAAAUUGAACUCGCUGUGAAGAUGCAGUGUACCCGCGGCAAGACGGAAAGACCCCGUGAACCUUUACUAUAGCUUGACACUGAACAUUGAGCCUUGAUGUGUAGGAUAGGUGGGAGGCUUUGAAGUGUGGACGCCAGUCUGCAUGGAGCCGACCUUGAAAUACCACCCUUUAAUGUUUGAUGUUCUAACGUGGACCCGUUACCCGGGUUGCGGACAGUGUCUGGUGGGUAGUUUGACUGGGGCGGUCUCCUCCUAAAGAGUAACGGAGGAGCACGAAGGUUGGCUAAUCCUGGUCGGACAUCAGGAGGUUAGUGCAAUGGCAUAAGCCAGCUUGACUGCGAGCGUGACGGCGCGAGCAGGUGCGAAAGCAGGUCAUAGUGAUCCGGUGGUUCUGAAUGGAAGGGCCAUCGCUCAACGGAUAAAAGGUACUCCGGGGAUAACAGGCUGAUACCGCCCAAGAGUUCAUAUCGACGGCGGUGUUUGGCACCUCGAUGUCGGCUCAUCACAUCCUGGGGCUGAAGUAGGUCCCAAGGGUAUGGCUGUUCGCCAUUUAAAGUGGUACGCGAGCUGGGUUUAGAACGUCGUGAGACAGUUCGGUCCCUAUCUGCCGUGGGCGCUGGAGAACUGAGGGGGGCUGCUCCUAGUACGAGAGGACCGGAGUGGACGCAUCACUGGUGUUCGGGUUGUCAUGCCAAUGGCACUGCCCGGUAGCUAAAUGCGGAAGAGAUAAGUGCUGAAAGCAUCUAAGCACGAAACUUGCCCCGAGAUGAGUUCUCCCUGAGACUUAGAGUCUCCUGAAGGAACGUUGAAGACGACGACGUUGAUAGGCCGGGUGUGUAAGCGCAGCGAUGCGUUGAGCUAACCGGUACUAAUGAACCGUGAGGCUUAACCUU
This 3089-nucleotide ribosomal RNA is filed under the name Salmonella enterica subsp. enterica serovar Typhimurium. RNAcentral describes it as "bacterial LSU rRNA". It matches the Rfam family "Bacterial large subunit ribosomal RNA". The record is from RNAcentral. Lineage: Bacteria; Pseudomonadati; Pseudomonadota; Gammaproteobacteria; Enterobacterales; Enterobacteriaceae.